GGAGGAGUCAAAAGUCAGCUUCAGGCCACGUGCAAGCUGGUCUUCAAGAGUGAUCUCAGUUCCCAGUGUGUUGUCAGUGUUCCACUUCUCCGUGAACAUCAGCCCAUAUUCCACCCAUCUGUAUUUGGUUUCCAAGCUACCACUGACUUUGCUUGUUUCUGAGUUUGCUGAACCUGAGCUUGUAAAUUCCAGUCCAUUCUCAGAUUUUGUUUUCAAAUCAAGUUUUAUUAACCCAAAACCAUAUCCUUUGGUGAACACAUCUCUGGCAGACUUGCCCAGAUCAGCAUAAGCAGGUGGAACAGCCAUUUUCUGGCCCCGCCGCGGCGGCAGCACCGCGCGCCGCACUCCCGCUCCCGGCGCCGCCUCGGGCUCCUGCGGCUCUCCCUGUCCCCGUCCCUGUUCCGGCCCCGGCCCGGCACCUCCCCGGGCUCUGCGGUGACGGCUGCGUGACGGCGGGCGGGGAC
RNAcentral lists this long non-coding RNA (464 nucleotides) under Gallus gallus (chicken). Lineage: Eukaryota; Metazoa; Chordata; Aves; Galliformes; Phasianidae. The record is from RNAcentral.